GGGUAAUAUGGUAUGAGAUCCAUCACCACAUUGAUUGCCAGGGUUGAUUUGACUGAUCUGGCUGGCUAAGCAGGUGUUCCCUUCCGUUCCC
Molecule: non-coding RNA, 91 nt
Organism: Ictidomys tridecemlineatus (thirteen-lined ground squirrel)
Lineage: Eukaryota; Metazoa; Chordata; Mammalia; Rodentia; Sciuridae
Source: Rfam